AUGGCGGCUGAGGGCGGGAGCAGGGAGGAGAGGUGGACCCUGGCCGGCGCCAGGGCGCUCAUCACCGGCAGCAGCAAAGGGAUCGGGUACGCCAUCGUGGAGGAGCUCGCCGGGUUCGGUGCGAGGGUGCACGCCUGCUCCCGGAACGCGGCGGAGCUGGAGGAGUGCCGACGGCGGUGGGAGGAGAAGGGCCUGCAUGUCACCGUCUCCGUGCGCGCCGACAGGGAGAAGCUCAUGGACACCGUCCGGCAGACCUUCAACGGCAAGCUGGACAUACUAGUGAACAACGCGGGGCAGCUGCUGGUGAAGCCCACCGCGGAGUGCACGGCGGAGGAGUACUCCAAGGUGAUGGCUACCAACCUGGAGUCGAGCUUCCAUCUCUGCCAACUCGCGCGCCCUCUUCUCGUACACGCCGGAGGAGGCAGCAUCAUCAACAUGUCCUCCAUUGGAGGCUCAAUUGGCUUCGUAGGCUCCGCAAUCUACGCUAUCACAAAAAGUGCUAUGAACCAACUGACCAGGAGUUUGGCCACCGAGUGGGCCCCUGACAAGAUCCGUGUGAACGGUGUUGCCCCAGGAUUUAUCACAACCGAUAUGAUUAAAGAUAUGGAUACGGAGUACAUGGAACAGGAGCACUCCAAAACCCCGUUGCGGCGGAGUGGCAAGCCAGCCGAGAUCGCCUCCGCGGUGGCAUUUCUGUGCAUGCCGGCGGCUUCCUUCAUCACCGGCCAGGUCAUCUGCGUCGACGGUGGUCGAACCAUUAGUGCUUAA
Molecule: ribosomal RNA, 768 nt
Filed under: Triticum aestivum (bread wheat)
Lineage: Eukaryota; Viridiplantae; Streptophyta; Magnoliopsida; Poales; Poaceae
Description: partial small subunit ribosomal RNA
Source: RNAcentral